Molecule: non-coding RNA, 19 nt
Filed under: Arabidopsis thaliana (thale cress)
Lineage: Eukaryota; Viridiplantae; Streptophyta; Magnoliopsida; Brassicales; Brassicaceae
Source: RNAcentral
AGCAUUUGCCAAGGAUGUU